ACGAACGCUGGCGGCAUGCCUAACACAUGCAAGUCGAACGCAGCCUUCGGGCUUAGUGGCGCACGGGUGCGUAACGCGUGGGAAUCUGCCCUUGGGUUCGGAAUAACAGUUAGAAAUGACUGCUAAUACCGGAUGAUGUCUUCGGACCAAAGAUUUAUCGCCCAAGGAUGAGCCCGCGUCGGAUUAGCUAGUUGGUGAGGUAAAGGCUCACCAAGGCGACGAUCCGUAGCUGGUCUGAGAGGAUGAUCAGCCACACUGGGACUGAGACACGGCCCAGACUCCUACGGGAGGCAGCAGUGGGGAAUAUUGGACAAUGGGCGAAAGCCUGAUCCAGCAAUGCCGCGUGAGUGAUGAAGGCCUUAGGGUUGUAAAGCUCUUUUACCCGGGAUGAUAAUGACAGUACCGGGAGAAUAAGCCCCGGCUAACUCCGUG
This 432-nucleotide ribosomal RNA is filed under the name uncultured bacterium. RNAcentral describes it as "partial 16S ribosomal RNA". It matches the Rfam family "Bacterial small subunit ribosomal RNA", at positions 29 to 507 of the family's 1533-position model. The record is from RNAcentral.